This 329-nucleotide ribosomal RNA is filed under the name uncultured eukaryote. RNAcentral's name for it is "partial 18S ribosomal RNA". It matches the Rfam family "Eukaryotic small subunit ribosomal RNA", at positions 1470 to 1796 of the family's 1831-position model. The record is from RNAcentral.
CCCUUAGAUGUUCUGGGCCACACGCGCGCUACAAUGAUGAAUUCAACGAGUUUAUAACCUUGGUUGAAAAGCCUGGGUAAUCUUUUGAACUUUCGUCGUGAUGGGGCUAGACCCUUGCAAUUAUUGGUCUCCAACGAGGAAUUCCUAGUAAACGCAAGUCAUCAGCUUGCAUUGAUUACGUCCCUGCCCUUUGUACACACCGCCCGUCGCACCUACCGAUUGAAUGGUCCGGUGAAAUCUUCGGAUUGAGACUUUGUUUUCUUCACGGAAAACGCUGUUUUAAAAAGUUGAUUAAACCUUACCAUUUAGAGGAAGGUGAAGUCGUAACA